Long non-coding RNA from Mustela lutreola (European mink), 597 nucleotides. RefSeq lists it as uncharacterized. The record is from RefSeq and is a predicted model, not a curated record. The transcript is spliced from 3 exons. NCBI's taxonomy places the organism in Eukaryota, Metazoa, Chordata, Mammalia, Carnivora, Mustelidae.
GCUCCCGUCAACCUGGGCGCUGGCGUUCUGACACACUGCCUGAGCUCCCCCUGCUGGCCUGUUUGCAGAAUUUCAUCAUCUGUGUCCAAAGUGGAAUCAGAUUACGGUAAUGAAGAUGCUUAUACAAAUGAAAGAACUGAGUGAUAUUUAUGGCUUCCUGUUGAGAAGAGAAAUAGAAUUUGGUAGAAAAUCUGAGCAAGUGAUCGUGACUUGCAUCUUUGCUGCCCUCAGUCAGCCAUCUGCAAGUGCGCCAACCUUCUCACUGGGCCUCCACCCUCUGUUUGAUCAAGAUGACCGUGAUCACUGAGAGAUCUGCUCACCUGAAGAUCACACUGAUGGGCCAGGAUUCACAGGACACGUUCACAUCAUAACACAAAUUCCCAUCCUGUAACUUCAUGGCACACUGGGAGUCAACAAUACCCCUGGAAGACAUUCCUGCACCUGGAUGGCUAGCAGUAAUUUAAUUCCACUUGAAAUUGAUGUGAAUCAAAUAAAUAUAUCCCACUAAAUUCAAAUCUCUUUUCCCAGAUCGCCCAAAUGCCUCAGGCCACUGUGAUCCACCCAACAGGAGAGAAAAUGUGAUAGAAGGUAAGGAAG